This 400-nucleotide ribosomal RNA is filed under the name uncultured bacterium. RNAcentral's name for it is "bacterial SSU rRNA". It matches the Rfam family "Bacterial small subunit ribosomal RNA", at positions 355 to 747 of the family's 1533-position model. The record is from RNAcentral.
UGGGGAAUAUUGGACAAUGGGCGCAAGCCUGAUCCAGCCAUACCGCGUGGGUGAAGAAGGCCUUCGGGUUGUAAAGCCCUUUUGUUGGGAAAGAAAUCCUGUUGAUUAAUACUCGAUAGGGAUGACGGUACCCAAAGAAUAAGCACCGGCUAACUUCGUGCCAGCAGCCGCGGUAAUACGAAGGGUGCAAGCGUUACUCGGAAUUACUGGGCGUAAAGCGUGCGUAGGUGGUUGUUUAAGUCCGUUGUGAAAGCCCUGGGCUCAACCUGGGAAUUGCAGUGGAUACUGGGCAACUAGAGUGUGAUAGAGGGUGGCGGAAUUCCCGGUGUAGCAGUGAAAUGCGUAGAUAUCGGGAGGAACAUCCGUGGCGAAGGCGGCCACCUGGGUCAACACUGACACU